RNAcentral lists this ribosomal RNA (274 nucleotides) under uncultured bacterium. Its description in RNAcentral is "partial 16S ribosomal RNA". It matches the Rfam family "Bacterial small subunit ribosomal RNA", at positions 523 to 796 of the family's 1533-position model. The record is from RNAcentral.
AUACGUAGGUCCCGAACGUUGCGCGAAAUUACUGGGCGUAAAGGGUCCGUAGGCGGUCUGGUAAGUGGAAGGUGAAAGCCUGGGGCUCAACUCCAGAAUUGCCUUCCAAACUGCCGGACUUGAGGCAGGGAGAGGUCGGCGGAAUUCCCGGUGUAGCGGUGAAAUGCGUAGAUAUCGGGAGGAACGCCAGUGGCGAAGGCGGCCGACUGGAACUGUCCUGACGCUGAGGGACGAAAGCCAGGGGAGCGAACCGGAUUAGAAACCCUUGUAGUCC